Molecule: ribosomal RNA, 429 nt
Filed under: Acidobacteriota bacterium
Lineage: Bacteria; Pseudomonadati; Acidobacteriota
Description: Acidobacteria bacterium partial 16S ribosomal RNA
Rfam family: Bacterial small subunit ribosomal RNA
Source: RNAcentral
UGGGGAAUUUUGGACAAUGGGGGAAACCCUGAUCCAGCCAUCCCGCGUGUGCGAUGAAGGCCUUCGGGUUGUAAAGCACUUUUGGCAGGAAAGAAACGUCAUGGGUUAAUACCCCGUGAAACUGACGGUACCUGCAGAAUAAGCACCGGCUAACUACGUGCCAGCAGCCGCGGUAAUACGUAGGGUGCAAGCGUUAAUCGGAAUUACUGGGCGUAAAGCGUGAGCAGGCGGUUCGGAAAGAAAGAUGUGAAAUCCCAGAGCUCAACUUUGGAACUGCAUUUUUAACUACCGGGCUAGAGUGUGUCAGAGGGAGGUGGAAUUCCGCGUGUAGCAGUGAAAUGCGUAGAUAUGCGGAGGAACACCGAUGGCGAAGGCAGCCUCCUGGGAUAACACUGACGCUCAUGCACGAAAGCGUGGGGAGCAAACAGG